UACGGGAAAUUUAUUUUCCUAGUGGCGGACGGGUGCGUAACACGUAAGAACCUACCUUUUGGAGGGGGAUAACAUCGGGAAACUGAUGCUAAUACCCCGUAAUAGCUGAGGAGUGAAAGCGAUUUUCCGCGCCAAGAGAGGGGCUUGCGGCUGAUUAGCUAGUUGGUGGGGGUAACGGCCUCCCAAGGCCACGAUCAGUAGCUGGUUUGAGAGGACGAUCAGCCACACUGGGACUGAGACACGGCCCAGACUCCUACGGGAGGCAGCAGUGAGGAAUUUUCCACAAUGGGCGAAAGCCUGAUGGAGCAAUACCGCGUGGAGGAAGAAGGUUCGUGGAUCGUAAACUCCUUUUCUCAGAGAAGAAGAUCUGACGGUAUCUGAGGAAUAAGCUCCGGCUAACUUUGUGCCAGCAGCCGCGGUAAUACAAGGGGAGCAAGCGUUAUCCGGAAUGAUUGGGCGUAAAGCGUCUGUAGGUGGUUCUUUAAGUCUACUGUCAAAUACGUUGGCUCAACCAACGGCAGGCAGUAGAGUACUAAAGAACUAGAGUGCGGUAGAGGUAGAGGGAAUCCCUAGCGUAACAGUGAAAUGUGUAGAUUUUAGGGGGAACACCAGCGGCGAAGGCGCUCUACUGGGCCGAUACUGACACUGAGAGACGAAAGCUAGAGGAGCGAAUAGGAUUAGAUACCCUAGUAGUUCUAGCUGUAAACGAUGGAAACUAAGAGGGGGUAACCCCCUUCUGUAGCUAACGCG
This 750-nucleotide ribosomal RNA is filed under the name uncultured bacterium. RNAcentral describes it as "bacterial SSU rRNA". It matches the Rfam family "Bacterial small subunit ribosomal RNA", at positions 65 to 859 of the family's 1533-position model. The record is from RNAcentral.